Molecule: ribosomal RNA, 468 nt
Filed under: uncultured bacterium
Lineage: Bacteria
Description: partial 16S ribosomal RNA
Rfam family: Bacterial small subunit ribosomal RNA (bases 48-468)
Source: RNAcentral
GGGGGGGGGGGGGGGGGGGGGGGGGGGGGGGGGGGCGGGGGGGAGGGGCGGGCGUGGGGGGGGUGCGCGGGGGGCGAACGGGGGAGUAACACGGGAGGAACCGGCCCUUGACUUUGGGAUAACUUCAGGAAACUGGGGCUAAUACCGGAUAGGAGCUCCUGCUGCAUGGUGGGGGUUGGAAAGUUUCGGCGGUUGGGGAUGGACUCGCGGCUUAUCAGCUUGUUGGUGGGGUAGUGGCUUACCAAGGCUUUGACGGGUAGCCGGCCUGAGAGGGUGACCGGCCACAUUGGGACUGAGAUACGGCCCAGACUCCUACGGGCGGCAGCAGUGGGGAAUAUUGCACAAUGGGCGGAAGCCUGAUGCAGCAACGCCGCGUGCGGGAUGACGGCCUUCGGGUUGUAAACCGCUUUCGCCUGUGACGAAGCGUGAGUGACGGUAAUGGGUAAAGAAGCACCGGCUAACUACGUG